UUUAAAUGGCUAAAUCAAAAGACUUAAGAUAUUUAUACUAGAAACAUUCUUAAUGAGUUUGAUAAAAAAAUACAAGGAUCUCGUCAGGUGCUUUCAUGUUUUCUUCAAAUUACAAACUUACAAAAACAAUGAGGUUCUGGCCACAAAGUGUGGUAGAUGAAUUAGUCAAUUUUUCUGAUUUCUGAUCAGCAUGAUGGUUGAUAAGAAAAUCAUUCAUGGGCUCAGUUAAUCUUAAACUUAGCCAUGUAGAAAAAAGUUACAUGAUAGGAAAGUUGCUGAACAAGAAAGAGUUCCCAAAGAAAAAAGAUUAGCAAUCAAAUAUCUGGAGAUGAUCUAACAACGCUUUAAUGAAACAGUGUAACGUAGAAUGAGUUUACGAGCGCUGCCAUAUAAAUCCACCUAACAUUGAUUGCUAAAGUAAUGUAUGAACUACAUGAAGAACUGUACAGAUUGUGUGGCAGGCGUGAUUUUUUCCAAAUCAGCAUUAAACUUAAGGCAAUGUUUCAGUAUAAAAUAUAUUGAAUUAGCCACUUCUAUGGCAUGCUUGCUGAUAUCACUUAGGAGAAAUAAUACUAACUCAUGUAUGGAACAGUUUGGAAAUUGAGGUUUCAAAAUGUCCCAAUAUUAAACUAUUUGUAAGAUUUAAAUCUAUAAGCAUCUGAUUUGCCAAAAGAAGAACUUGACAUCCCUCAAACUACUGAAGAUCUUGACAUCCCUCAAAUUUCAUAGUCUUUGAUAAACAAAAAAGAGCUUAUCGCAAAUCUUUAGCAAAAAGCAAUUAGUUGAAGUUUCAACAGAGGUGAUUAAAGCAAACUCGUUCAAAUAACAUUGUUGUAUCUAAGUAAUGGGCAAAAUGUGUUUUUUUCUGGAUUUAAUAAACCAGGCGCUUUGCACAAUGGAAGG
This is a non-coding RNA of Hydra vulgaris (swiftwater hydra), 903 nucleotides long. The record is from RefSeq and is a predicted model, not a curated record. NCBI's taxonomy places the organism in Eukaryota, Metazoa, Cnidaria, Hydrozoa, Anthoathecata, Hydridae.